Molecule: ribosomal RNA, 509 nt
Filed under: uncultured bacterium
Lineage: Bacteria
Description: bacterial SSU rRNA
Rfam family: Bacterial small subunit ribosomal RNA
Source: RNAcentral
AAUGAACGCUGGCGGCGUGCUUAACACAUGCAAGUCGAGCGAGGCCUGGGGGGCAACUCCCAGAGUCGAGCGGCGGACGGGUGAGUAACACGUGGGUAACCUGCCCGGAAGUGGGGAAUACCUCGGGGAAACUCGAGCUAAUACCGCAUGACAUCUUUGGGACGAAAGUCCUGACGAUCAAAGCGGGGUCGCAAGAUCUCGCGCUACCGGAUGGGCCCGCGCCCGAUUAGCUAGUUGGGAGGUAACGGCUCACCAAGGCUUCGAUCGGUAACCGGCCUGAGAGGGCGAUCGGUCACACCGGAACUGAGACACGGUCCGGACUCCUACGGGAGGCAGCAGUGGGGAAUCUUGCGCAAUGGGCGAAAGCCUGACGCAGCAACGCCGCGUGGAGGAUGAAGGCCCUUGGGUUGUAAACUCCUGUCGGCUGGGAAGAAGUCGUGCGGUGCUCAUACCACCGUGCGUUGACUGUACCAGCAAAGGAAGCCCCGGCUAACUCUGUGCCAGCAGCC